RNAcentral lists this ribosomal RNA (253 nucleotides) under uncultured bacterium. Its description in RNAcentral is "partial 16S ribosomal RNA". It matches the Rfam family "Bacterial small subunit ribosomal RNA", at positions 524 to 776 of the family's 1533-position model. The record is from RNAcentral.
UACGAAGGGGGCUAGCGUUGUUCGGAAUUACUGGGCGUAAAGGGCGCGUAGGCGGCCUUGUAAGUGAGAUGUGAAAGACCUGGGCUUAACCUAGGAAGUGCAUUUCAGACUGCAAAGCUAGAGUGCGAGAGAGGAAAGUGGAAUGACGAGUGUAGAGGUGAAAUUCGUAGAUAUUCGUUGGAACACCAGUGGCGAAGGCGACUUUCUGGCUCGCAACUGACGCUAAGGCGCGAAAGCGUGGGGAGCAAACAGG